This 73-nucleotide transfer RNA is filed under the name Propionimicrobium lymphophilum. RNAcentral's name for it is "tRNA-Glu". It matches the Rfam family "tRNA". From Rfam's summary of the family: Transfer RNA (tRNA) molecules are approximately 80 nucleotides in length. Their secondary structure includes four short double-helical elements and three loops (D, anti-codon, and T loops). RNAcentral also lists the same sequence under 1 other name. Lineage: Bacteria; Bacillati; Actinomycetota; Actinomycetes; Propionibacteriales; Propionibacteriaceae. The record is from RNAcentral.
GUCCCCGUCGUCUAGGGGCCUAGGACACCGCCCUUUCAAGGCGGCAACGGCGGUUCGAAUCCGCUCGGGGAUA